This 2753-nucleotide ribosomal RNA is filed under the name Escherichia coli. RNAcentral describes it as "partial 23S ribosomal RNA". It matches the Rfam family "Bacterial large subunit ribosomal RNA". The record is from RNAcentral. Lineage: Bacteria; Pseudomonadati; Pseudomonadota; Gammaproteobacteria; Enterobacterales; Enterobacteriaceae.
CAUAGGUUAAUGAGGCGAACCGGGGGAACUGAAACAUCUAAGUACCCCGAGGAAAAGAAAUCAACCGAGAUUCCCCCAGUAGCGGCGAGCGAACGGGGAGGAGCCCAGAGCCUGAAUCAGUGUGUGUGUUAGUGGAAGCGUCUGGAAAGGCGCGCGAUACAGGGUGACAGCCCCGUACACAAAAAUGCACAUACUGUGAGCUCGAUGAGUAGGGCGGGACACGUGGUAUCCUGUCUGAAUAUGGGGGGACCAUCCUCCAAGGCUAAAUACUCCUGACUGACCGAUAGUGAACCAGUACCGUGAGGGAAAGGCGAAAAGAACCCCGGCGAGGGGAGUGAAAAAGAACCUGAAACCGUGUACGUACAAGCAGUGGGAGCCUCUUAAUGGGGUGACUGCGUACCUUUUGUAUAAUGGGUCAGCGACUUAUAUUCUGUAGCAAGGUUAACCGAAUAGGGGAGCCGAAGGGAAACCGAGUCUUAACUGGGCGUUAAGUUGCAGGGUAUAGACCCGAAACCCGGUGAUCUAGCCAUGGGCAGGUUGAAGGUUGGGUAACACUAACUGGAGGACCGAACCGACUAAUGUUGAAAAAUUAGCGGAUGACUUGUGGCUGGGGGUGAAAGGCCAAUCAAACCGGGAGAUAGCUGGUUCUCCCCGAAAGCUAUUUAGGUAGCGCCUCGUGAAUUCAUCUCCGGGGGUAGAGCACUGUUUCGGCAAGGGGGUCAUCCCGACUUACCAACCCGAUGCAAACUGCGAAUACCGGAGAAUGUUAUCACGGGAGACACACGGCGGGUGCUAACGUCCGUCGUGAAGAGGGAAACAACCCAGACCGCCAGCUAAGGUCCCAAAGUCAUGGUUAAGUGGGAAACGAUGUGGGAAGGCCCAGACAGCCAGGAUGUUGGCUUAGAAGCAGCCAUCAUUUAAAGAAAGCGUAAUAGCUCACUGGUCGAGUCGGCCUGCGCGGAAGAUGUAACGGGGCUAAACCAUGCACCGAAGCUGCGGCAGCGAUACUAUGUGUUGUUGGGUAGGGGAGCGUUCUGUAAGCCUGUGAAGGUGGCCUGUGAGGGUUGCUGGAGGUAUCAGAAGUGCGAAUGCUGACAUAAGUAACGAUAAAGCGGGUGAAAAGCCCGCUCGCCGGAAGACCAAGGGUUCCUGUCCAACGUUAAUCGGGGCAGGGUGAGUCGACCCCUAAGGCGAGGCCGAAAGGCGUAGUCGAUGGGAAACAGGUUAAUAUUCCUGUACUUGGUGUUACUGCGAAGGGGGGACGGAGAAGGCUAUGUUGGCCGGGCGACGGUUGUCCCGGUUUAAGCGUGUAGGCUGGUUUUCCAGGCAAAUCCGGAAAAUCAAGGCUGAGGCGUGAUGACGAGGCACUACGGUGCUGAAGCAACAAAUGCCCUGCUUCCAGGAAAAGCCUCUAAGCAUCAGGUAACAUCAAAUCGUACCCCAAACCGACACAGGUGGUCAGGUAGAGAAUACCAAGGCGCUUGAGAGAACUCGGGUGAAGGAACUAGGCAAAAUGGUGCCGUAACUUCGGGAGAAGGCACGCUGAUAUGUAGGUGAAGCGACUUGCUCGUGGAGCUGAAAUCAGUCGAAGAUACCAGCUGGCUGCAACUGUUUAUUAAAAACACAGCACUGUGCAAACACGAAAGUGGACGUAUACGGUGUGACGCCUGCCCGGUGCCGGAAGGUUAAUUGAUGGGGUUAGCGGCAACGCGAAGCUCUUGAUCGAAGCCCCGGUAAACGGCGGCCGUAACUAUAACGGUCCUAAGGUAGCGAAAUUCCUUGUCGGGUAAGUUCCGACCUGCACGAAUGGCGUAAUGAUGGCCAGGCUGUCUCCACCCGAGACUCAGUGAAAUUGAACUCGCUGUGAAGAUGCAGUGUACCCGCGGCAAGACGGAAAGACCCCGUGAACCUUUACUAUAGCUUGACACUGAACAUUGAGCCUUGAUGUGUAGGAUAGGUGGGAGGCUUUGAAGUGUGGACGCCAGUCUGCAUGGAGCCGACCUUGAAAUACCACCCUUUAAUGUUUGAUGUUCUAACGUGGGCCCGUAAUCCGGGUUGCGGACAGUGUCUGGUGGGUAGUUUGACUGGGGCGGUCUCCUCCUAAAGAGUAACGGAGGAGCACGAAGGUUGGCUAAUCCUGGUCGGACAUCAGGAGGUUAGUGCAAUGGCAUAAGCCAGCUUGACUGCGAGCGUGACGGCGCGAGCAGGUGCGAAAGCAGGUCAUAGUGAUCCGGUGGUUCUGAAUGGAAGGGCCAUCGCUCAACGGAUAAAAGGUACUCCGGGGAUAACAGGCUGAUACCGCCCAAGAGUUCAUAUCGACGGCGGUGUUUGGCACCUCGAUGUCGGCUCAUCACAUCCUGGGGCUGAAGUAGGUCCCAAGGGUAUGGCUGUUCGCCAUUUAAAGUGGUACGCGAGCUGGGUUUAGAACGUCGUGAGACAGUUCGGUCCCUAUCUGCCGUGGGCGCUGGAGAACUGAGGGGGGCUGCUCCUAGUACGAGAGGACCGGAGUGGACGCAUCACUGGUGUUCGGGUUGUCAUGCCAAUGGCACUGCCCGGUAGCUAAAUGCGGAAGAGAUAAGUGCUGAAAGCAUCUAAGCACGAAACUUGCCCCGAGAUGAGUUCUCCCUGACCCUUUAAGGGUCCUGAAGGAACGUUGAAGACGACGACGUUGAUAGGCCGGGUGUGUAAGCGCAGCGAUGCGUUGAGCUAACCGGUACUAAUGAACCGUGAGGCUUAACCUUACAACGCCGAAG